GUGCUCGCUUUGGGAGCACAUGUGCUAAAACUGGAACAAUACGGAGAAGGUUAGCAGGGCCCUGCGGAAGGAUGACGCCCAAAUUCAUCAAACGAUCCAUAGCUUU
Small nuclear RNA from Trichechus manatus latirostris (Florida manatee), 106 nucleotides. Lineage: Eukaryota; Metazoa; Chordata; Mammalia; Sirenia; Trichechidae. The record is from RefSeq and is a predicted model, not a curated record.